CGUCCUAAGGCGAGGGCGGGAGCCGUAGCCGAUGACAAACAGGUGGAGAAUCUGUACGCGAUAUGACAGACUGUGGGACACGCGUGAAAGCAUAGCGGGAAUGAAAGACCGGCGCAAGCGGGUAGGGGCUGCAUAGGCAAAUCCGUGCAGCGUAACCCGAAGCCGUGACGCGUACCGAACUGCAAGUAGGGAAGUAUGCGAGCCAUGCGUCAAGAAAAGCCGCUAUCGCUCAUAUCGCGCCCGUACCGCAAACCGACACAGGUAGAUGAGGAGAGAAUCCUAAGGCCGACGGGAGAAGCAUUGUCAAGGAACUCGGCAAAAUGACUCCGUAACUUCGGGAGAAGGAGUGCCAUAGAGAUAUGGCCGCAGAGAAUUGGCCCAAGCAACUGUUUAGCAAAAACACAGGUCUAUGCGAAGCCGCAAGGCGAGGUAUAUGGGCUGACGCCUGCCCGGUGCUGGAAGGUUAAGGGGAGAGGUUAGAGCGAUCGAAGCCUUGAACUUAAGCCCCAGUAAACGGCGGCCGUAACUAUAACGGUCCUAAGGUAGCGAAAUUCCUUGUCGGGUAAGUUCCGACCCGCACGAAAGGCGUAAUGAUUUGGGCACUGUCUCGACAAUGCACCCGGUGAAAUUGAAGUACCAGUGAAGAUGCUGGUUACCCGCGCCAGGACGGAAAGACCCCAUGGAGCUUUACUCCAGCUUGAUACUGGGAUCCGGUAUUGCAUGUACAGGAUAGGUGGGAGGCUAGGAAGCGAUGACGCCAGUCGUCGCGGAGCCGCUGUUGGGAUACCACCCUUGCAGUGCUGGGUUUCUAACCAGCAGCCGUGAACCGGCUGGGGGACAAUGUCAGGCGGGGAGUUUGACUGGGGCGGUCGCCUCCGAAAGGGUAUCGGAGGCGCUCAAAGGUCCUCUCAGAAUGGUCGGAAACCAUUCGCAGAGCGCAAAGGCAGAAGAGGGCUUGACUGCGACACCGACGGGUGGAGCAGGUACGAAAGUAGGACUUAGUGAUCCGGUGGUAUAAAGUGGGAUUGCCAUCGCUCAACGGAUAAAAGCUACCCUGGGGAUAACAGGCUUAUCACUCCCAAGAGUUCACAUCGACGGAGUGGUUUGGCACCUCGAUGUCGGCUCAUCGCAUCCUGGGGCUGAAGUAGGUCCCAAGGGUUGGGCUGUUCGCCCAUUAAAGCGGUACGCGAGCUGGGUUCAGAACGUCGUGAGACAGUUCGGUCCCUAUCCGGCGCGGGCGUAGGAUAUUUGAGAGGAGCUGUCCUUAGUACGAGAGGACCGGGAUGGACUGGCCGCUGGUGGAUCUGUUGCGCCUCCAGGCGCAUGGCAGAGUAGCCAAGCCGGGACGGGAUAAACGCUGAAGGCAUCUAAGCGUGAAGCCCCCCUCGAGAUGAGAUAUCCCUGGCGUUAAGCCAGUAAGACCCCUUGAAGACGACGAGGUAGAUAGGAUAGAGGUGGAAGUGCAGCAAUGCAUGGAGCUGACUAUUACUAAUCGGUCGAGGGCAUGACCAG
This 1512-nucleotide ribosomal RNA is filed under the name [Clostridium] scindens ATCC 35704. RNAcentral describes it as "bacterial LSU rRNA". It matches the Rfam family "Bacterial large subunit ribosomal RNA", at positions 1387 to 2925 of the family's 2925-position model. Lineage: Bacteria; Bacillati; Bacillota; Clostridia; Lachnospirales; Lachnospiraceae. The record is from RNAcentral.